This 475-nucleotide ribosomal RNA is filed under the name uncultured Acholeplasma sp. Its description in RNAcentral is "bacterial SSU rRNA". It matches the Rfam family "Bacterial small subunit ribosomal RNA", at positions 902 to 1382 of the family's 1533-position model. Lineage: Bacteria; Bacillati; Mycoplasmatota; Mollicutes; Acholeplasmatales; Acholeplasmataceae. The record is from RNAcentral.
CAAAUGAAUUGACGGGACCCCGCACAAGCGGUGGAUCAUGUUGUUUAAUUCGAUGAUACGCGAAGAACCUUACCAGGUCUUGACAUCCCCCGCAAUGCUAUGGAGACAUAGCGGAGGUAUUCGGGGAGACAGGUGGUGCAUGGUUGUCGUCAGCUCGUGUCGUGAGAUGUUGGGUUAAGUCCCGCAACGAGCGCAACCCUUAUUGCUAGUUACCAUCAUUGAGUUGGGGACUCUAGCGAGACUGCCAGUGAUAAACUGGAGGAAGGUGGGGAUGACGUCAAAUCAUCAUGCCCCUUAUGACCUGGGCUACAAACGUGAUACAAUGGCUGAAACAGAGGGAGGCGAAGGGGUGACCUGGAGCGAAACCCAGAAAAACAGUCUCAGUUCGGAUUGAAGUCUGCAACUCGACUUCAUGAAGUCGGAAUCGCUAGUAAUCGCGGAUCAGAACGCCGCGGUGAAUACGUUCUCGGGGUUU